This 343-nucleotide unclassified non-coding RNA is filed under the name Hevea brasiliensis (rubber tree). Lineage: Eukaryota; Viridiplantae; Streptophyta; Magnoliopsida; Malpighiales; Euphorbiaceae. The record is from RNAcentral.
CAGAAUUCGAAUUUAAUCCAUUAAAGCCAACUAGUUCAUCAUGCAGAUAACCAAAAAGACUACUAAUGUAGCCAUAAAGUAGUUAAACAUAACAGGUAAGGUGUUCAUCAUCAAAAGCAGUCAAAGCAAGAUAGCCAAGGAAAUACUUUCAGUUACCUAAAAAAGCAUUAUAAAAGAAACUUAGUCAACCUCCUCGAUCUUGGGACCAGCACCGCUGCCUCCAGUAGGAACAUCAUCAUCCUCAUCCAUACCACCCAUAUCUGGACCAGCACCGCCCUGGUACAUCUUAGCAAUGAUAGGGUUGCAGAUGCCCUCCAGCUCCUUCAUCUUAUCUUCAAACUCA